AUUGAACGCUGGCGGCAGGCCUAACACAUGCAAGUCGAGCGGAUGAAGGGAGCUUGCUCCUGGAUUCAGCGGCGGACGGGUGAGUAAUGCCUAGGAAUCUGCCUGGUAGUGGGGGAUAACGCCCGGAAACGGGCGCUAAUACCGCAUACGUCCUGAGGGAGAAAGUGGGGGAUCUUCGGACCUCACGCUAUCAGAUGAGCCUAGGUCGGAUUAGCUAGUUGGUGGGGUAAAGGCCUACCAAGGCGACGAUCCGUAACUGGUCUGAGAGGAUGAUCAGUCACACUGGAACUGAGACACGGUCCAGACUCCUACGGGAGGCAGCAGUGGGGAAUAUUGGACAAUGGGCGAAAGCCUGAUCCAGCCUUGCCGCGUGUGUGAAGAAGGUCUUCGGAUUGUAAAGCACUUUAAGUUGGGAGGAAGGGCAGUAAGUUAAUACCUUGCUGUUUUGACGUUACCAACAGAAUAAGCACCGGCUAACUUCGUG
RNAcentral lists this ribosomal RNA (484 nucleotides) under uncultured bacterium. RNAcentral describes it as "partial 16S ribosomal RNA". It matches the Rfam family "Bacterial small subunit ribosomal RNA", at positions 30 to 507 of the family's 1533-position model. The record is from RNAcentral.